RNAcentral lists this ribosomal RNA (292 nucleotides) under uncultured Rhodococcus sp. RNAcentral's name for it is "partial 16S ribosomal RNA". It matches the Rfam family "Bacterial small subunit ribosomal RNA", at positions 505 to 796 of the family's 1533-position model. Lineage: Bacteria; Bacillati; Actinomycetota; Actinomycetes; Mycobacteriales; Nocardiaceae. The record is from RNAcentral.
GUGUCAGCCGCCGCGGUAAUACGUAGGGUGCGAGCGUUGUCCGGAAUUACUGGGCGUAAAGAGCUCGUAGGCGGUUUGUCGCGUCGUCUGUGAAAUCCCGCAGCUCAACUGCGGGCUUGCAGGCGAUACGGGCAGACUUGAGUACUGCAGGGGAGACUGGAAUUCCUGGUGUAGCGGUGAAAUGCGCAGAUAUCAGGAGGAACACCGGUGGCGAAGGCGGGUCUCUGGGCAGUAACUGACGCUGAGGAGCGAAAGCGUGGGUAGCGAACAGGAUUAGAAACCCCGGUAGUCC